UACGUAGGUGGCGAGCGUUAUCCGGAUUUACUGGGUGUAAAGGGUGCGUAGGCGGCCGAGUAAGUCAGCGGUGAAAUUUUGCAGCUUAACUGUAACAGUGCCGUUGAUACUGCAUGGCUAGGAUUUGGUUGCUGUGGGUGGAAUGUGUGGUGUAGCGGUGAAAUGCUUAGAUAUCACACAGAAUAUCGAUUGCGAAGGCAGCUCACAAAGCCAAGAUUGACGCUGAGGCACGAAAGUGUGGGGAUCGAACA
This 251-nucleotide ribosomal RNA is filed under the name uncultured prokaryote. RNAcentral's name for it is "partial 16S ribosomal RNA". It matches the Rfam family "Bacterial small subunit ribosomal RNA", at positions 524 to 774 of the family's 1533-position model. The record is from RNAcentral.